UACGAAGGGGGCGAGCGUUGUCCGGAUUCACUGGGCGUAAAGCGCGCGUAGGCGGGCUUUUAUGUUGGGGGUGAAAUGCCGAGGCUCAACCUCGGAACUGCCUCCAAAACUGGGAGUCUUGAGGUAUGGAGAGGGAAGUGGAAUACCAGGUGUAGCGGUGAUAUGCGUAAAUAUCUGGAAGAACACCCGUGGCGAAGGCGGCUUCCUGGGCAUAUCCUUACGAUGAGGUGCGAAGGCCAGGGGAGCGAACGGG
Molecule: ribosomal RNA, 253 nt
Filed under: uncultured bacterium
Lineage: Bacteria
Description: partial 16S ribosomal RNA
Rfam family: Bacterial small subunit ribosomal RNA
Source: RNAcentral